AGACCAACAAUUAAGUAGGCUUUCCAACACAGAGCAUUUAGGCUAUGAUCAUGACCAAGAGAAUAGAAGACCAUCUUUUACUUCUGACAAGCUAUACAUACAGAUGACUUGACAACAGUUUACAAAAAGGAAAGCUAAGUGUGAACCUUUGAUCAUGAUGGAGGAAAAACCUCAGUGUUGUCAUCUUUUUAUAAAAAUCAGAAUAUCACAAAAAAUUAUGGUC
Molecule: unclassified non-coding RNA, 223 nt
Filed under: Hevea brasiliensis (rubber tree)
Lineage: Eukaryota; Viridiplantae; Streptophyta; Magnoliopsida; Malpighiales; Euphorbiaceae
Source: RNAcentral